This 253-nucleotide ribosomal RNA is filed under the name uncultured bacterium. Its description in RNAcentral is "partial 16S ribosomal RNA". It matches the Rfam family "Bacterial small subunit ribosomal RNA", at positions 524 to 776 of the family's 1533-position model. The record is from RNAcentral.
GACAGAGGGUGCAAACGUUGUUCGGAAUUACUGGGCGUAAAGCGCGUGUAGGCGGCUAUGCAAGUCGGGCGUGAAAUCCCACGGCUCAACCGUGGAAGUGCACUCGAAACUGCGUAGCUAGGGUCCUGGAGAGGAAGGUGGAAUACUUGGUGUAGAGGUGAAAUUCGUAGAUAUCAAGUGGAACACCGGUGGCGAAGGCGGCCUUCUGGACAGUGACUGACGCUGAGACGCGAAAGCGUGGGGAGCAAACAGG